GAUGAACGCUGGCGGCGUGCCUAAUACAUGCAAGUCGAGCGAACGGACGAGAAGCUUGCUUUUCUGAUGUUAGCGGCGGACGGGUGAGUAGCACGUGGAUAACCUACCUAUAAGACUGGGAUAACUUCGGGAAACCGGAGCUAAUACCGGAUAAUAUUUUGAACCGCAUGGUUCAAAAGUGAAAGACGGUCUUGCUGUCACUUAUAGAUGGAUCCGCGCUGCAUUAGCUAGUUGGUAAGGUAACGGCUUACCAAGGCAACGAUGCAUAGCCGACCUGAGAGGGUGAUCGGCCACACUGGAACGGAGACACGGUCCAGACUCCUACGGGAGGCAGCAGUAGGGAAUCUGCCGCAAUGGGCGAAAGCCUGACGGAGAAACGCCGCGUGAGUGAUGAAGGUCGUCGGAUCGUAAAACUCUGUUAUUAGGGAAGAACACAUGUGUAAGUAACUGUGCACAUCUUGACGGUACCUAAUCAGAAAGCCACGGCUAACUACGUG
This 497-nucleotide ribosomal RNA is filed under the name uncultured bacterium. RNAcentral's name for it is "partial 16S ribosomal RNA". It matches the Rfam family "Bacterial small subunit ribosomal RNA", at positions 28 to 507 of the family's 1533-position model. The record is from RNAcentral.